CGGGAGAGGUUAGAGGUACUCCCAGGGUAGAGGUGAAAUUCUGUAAUCCUGGGAGGACCGCCUGUUGCGAAGGCGUCUAACUGGAACGGUUCUGACGGUGAGGGACGAAAGUUAGGGGCGCGAACCGGAUUAGAUACCCGGGUAGUCCUAACUGUAAACGAUGCGGACUUGGUGUUGGGGUGGCUUUGAGCUGCUCCAGUGCCGAAGGGAAGCUGUUAAGUCCGCCGCCUGGGAAGUACGGUCGCAAGACUGAAACUUAAGGAAUUGGCGGGGGAGCACCACAACGCGUGGAGCCUGCCGGUUUAAUUGGAUUCAACGCCGGACAUCUCACCAGAGGCGACAGCUGUAUGAUAGCCAGGUUGAUGACUUUGCUUGACUAGCUGAGUGGAGGUGCAUGG
This 398-nucleotide ribosomal RNA is filed under the name uncultured archaeon. Its description in RNAcentral is "bacterial SSU rRNA". It matches the Rfam family "Archaeal small subunit ribosomal RNA", at positions 600 to 997 of the family's 1478-position model. The record is from RNAcentral.